GAUCAUAGCUUCGGCCAAUAAUUUAGGUUGUUCCUCUGGAAUAUAAUGCCCAUUUCCCGAAAUUAACCCGCCACUGACAUUAGUGCCUAACGGUUCUAUAGCUUCAAAUAUAUUAGGAGCACUUCCAAUUUCUUCACCAAGGACAAGUAAUGGGACGUCAAUCAAUACAGACUUUAUUAACUUGUUUUGCUCGAAAUCUUCCAAAACAGCCCGGUAGUAUUCAAGCAUCUCCCACAUUCCUCCUAGCAUUUGGUAAGCGCGCUUGUAUUCUGUAAAAUCAUUUUCAGAAAAACAAGCAUUAAAAUAAUACAGCCUUUCUUUUGAAAAACCACUCCAUAAAGAUUCUUUCACGUUCACGCAAAAGUUCUUCUGGUAGAUCAAGGACUGUAUUGAAUAGGAAAUGCCAACUUCGCCAAUUGUCCGGACCUAGUUCUAUGGACGAUGGAUGUGUAAUUCCUGGAAUUCUCAUCUAAUAGCACAGCUACGAAGAGUUCAGCUCAAAAUAGUGAACAAUAUGGAUAAGUAAUCCAAGUACCGACAUCAUGACCGACAAGGAAAUAUUUAUCAACCUUAAAUGUUUUCACUAGAUAAUGAAUACGCUUUGCAGCCGUCUGUAUGUCAUAACCAACAAGCGGUUUUUCUGAGUCACCUUAACCAGGUAAGUCUACUGCAACCACAAGUAUCGACCAGAAAGCAGUGGCAUGACGUGGCGCCAUGCGUAGCAAGUUUGAGGAAAUCCUGCUAAUAAUAUUACUAAUGGUCCCAUAUCCAUUUCUACAAUAUGCAGAC
Molecule: non-coding RNA, 789 nt
Organism: Schizosaccharomyces pombe (fission yeast)
Lineage: Eukaryota; Fungi; Ascomycota; Schizosaccharomycetes; Schizosaccharomycetales; Schizosaccharomycetaceae
Source: the annotation of a GenBank genome assembly